CACGUAGGGCGCGAGCGUUGUCCGGAAUUAUUGGGCGUAAAGAGCUCGUAGGCGGCCUGUUGCGUCCGCUGUGAAAGCCCGGGGCUUAACCCCGGGUCGGCAGUGGAUACGGGCAGGCUAGAGGUGAGGUAGGGGAGAAUGGAAUUCCCGGUGUAGCGGUGAAAUGCGCAGAUAUCGGGAGGAACACCGGUGGCGAAGGCGGUUCUCUGGGCCUUACCUGACGCUGAGGAGCGAAAGCGUGGGGAGCGAAACAGG
RNAcentral lists this ribosomal RNA (255 nucleotides) under uncultured bacterium. RNAcentral's name for it is "partial 16S ribosomal RNA". It matches the Rfam family "Bacterial small subunit ribosomal RNA", at positions 524 to 776 of the family's 1533-position model. The record is from RNAcentral.